UCAAUUCAACUCAAUUUUUCUGCCAAAGUAACAACAAAUCCAUUUUACUACAAUUUUAGCUCACAGGCAUUCAUCAAUUUUCUCUAUAAAUUGAUAACAAAAAAUCAGAGCAAAAAUCAGCAAUACCUCCAUUCUCAAUUUAUCACCAUCUUCUCUAAAUCAUCAUCAUCAUCCACACCAACAAAAAUAGCAACACGAGCUUCAUCUCCGACCAAACCCCAUCGCCGCCAUGGUUAUUCUCCCUAUCUGAUUUCUCGAUCUUGCCAUGAAAGAGUAUGGCGACAAUGAUAAUAAACUAGAUCUGGUUGUUUCCAUACUGCGAACAAAAGUAACAUCUGAGUAAGCACCGUCACGAGAAGUCGAUUCCGGCCAGGGAGAACGCCAGUUGUCGAAUGAAGGAGGACGAGACUUAUNNNNN
RNAcentral lists this long non-coding RNA (418 nucleotides) under Trifolium pratense (red clover). RNAcentral describes it as "long non-coding RNA (TPRA_LNC008328)". Lineage: Eukaryota; Viridiplantae; Streptophyta; Magnoliopsida; Fabales; Fabaceae. The record is from RNAcentral.